GUGUUGUGUUGUCAUGUGGUUUGUUGCACUUACUUACCUUGCAAAAAAAAAUUCAUUUGAUAAAAAUUGUACUUUAAUUUUUUAAAGUAAUUAAAACAUUCUCAUUCAUUAAUAUUUGAUUAAAAAAAUUUUACAAUUAUAAGAGGCAGAUAAUCGAUUGUUCAGUGGCAACUGCGAUAACUCAUCGCAUUAAAGCAAUGGUCACUGGGUGAUUCUCAGUAUUAACUACAAGUUCACUUGUAUAACUUAUAAAAAUAAACUUAACAUGUUCCAUUGUUUACUAGUUCUGAAUGACAAAUUUUCAUUUAUAACAAAUAAAUUUAUUGUAGAUUAGGUUUUCAAUAAAAAGUGUUAUGAAAAAUUGCAUUGAAGUUGAAACAAACAUUAUUGUAAUAUAUAUGAUUUAUAUCAUAUUGGUUCGAUAUGCAAAAAAUAAUUGGAACUUAAUAUUCUACAAUAAAUAUUUAUACAUAUUGAGAAGUCACCCACCUAAGUAAGCGCUACGCAUGAAAGCGGCACUGUACAUCUCUUCAAAAAAACUGAUGAAAAUAGCAAGGAGGCAGUUGAAGGAAGGAAGAAUUUCAGCCCUUUAUACACCCAGCUUUACUGAGAAUGAUUAUAGCGACGUGCUGUGUAUAAAGUGGCAUUAAGGGCUAUUGUUGGUGUAGUCUACAAUGCAUCGGAGAUGCUGUUGAGAACCGUUCUUUGGACAUGUUCAAGCUCAAGUACAACACUAAUCAAAAUACGUAUUGCAAUUACUCUCUAAUUAAAAAAAAAAAA
Non-coding RNA from Bactrocera oleae (olive fruit fly), 780 nucleotides. The record is from RefSeq and is a predicted model, not a curated record. Lineage: Eukaryota; Metazoa; Arthropoda; Insecta; Diptera; Tephritidae.